Molecule: non-coding RNA, 1565 nt
Organism: Peromyscus maniculatus bairdii (prairie deer mouse)
Lineage: Eukaryota; Metazoa; Chordata; Mammalia; Rodentia; Cricetidae
Source: RefSeq, a predicted model, not a curated record
GAGGCGGGCUUUACUAAGGAAGCCGAGAGGGAAGGACCGUGGGCUGGAUAAGCGGCGAGAUGUGGAUGCAGUGAUAGUUUAUGUACUUCCACAAGUAUACCGACAUGCAAAUUAUAUGUAAAUGACUCGUUUGUAUAAGCCACUGAGUUACUGUAAUUGCCAUCAGUGGCUUCUUCUCCUCCUGUCCUACAGGAUUGAUUCCCUUCCUAAACCAGCCGGUGGGACCCAUGCUGGAAGGCCAGAAAACAAGUGAGAAAAAGAAGGGAUCAGAGAGGAGGACAAUCACCCUCACUUUCCUUCUUCUACUCAUCUUUAAGGACAAUGCCAAGAGCAUGCCCCUGUGGCUUCUGGAAUGGCGCGGUCCAACCGCCUCACUCUUGCACCGUUAGCAGCACCGCUCUGGGCCAAGGUUCUGCUUCCGAGGUCAUCCCCAGCUUGGGCAGCCUUUGGCCUCCAGUGUCCAGUCGCCUUGACCUCAAACAGGCUGGACAAGCCAGGCUAGGAGAGAAAAACAAGACUUCAAGACUAGAGUAGCUCUGCAAACUGAGGAUUUUAUUGUCAAGAUAGCAACUCUCUGGAGCUGGUGAGACGGCUCAUUGGCAUCACGGAGCCUUCCCUGGAAGAGAAGAAAAGGAUAAGUGAGAGGUCAUAUGUGACCAGCUCCCCACCCUAAGAUUUGUGAGUUCAUACCCUAGUGCUCGGAAUAACACACAGACUCAGAGAAGCAGAAGAAAACUUCAAGAUGAUGCCCUCUGCCAGGCUCCUGUGAAGAGCGGGAAGCACCAGACGACCUUUUCCAGUCUCCAAAUACCCAGAAAUACCAUCCCACCUAGCUACUGCUGGUGCUUAAACCUCACCAUCUCCAGUUUCUUUCUUUGCCUUUAGGGCAGCCUCCUCUGACCUCUGGGCUGCAGGCUUAUCUCUGGGGUAGCGACUCUUCAGAUUCCCAGCCGCGCACGGUGGCUCGCUUUUAUCAGAAGUGUGCCUCAGAGUGGGCAGCGGUGAGCAGGGGCUGUGGCCUAACGACUAAGGAUGUGUUUUAAGAAGCGAUUGUUGGGCUGGGGAGACCGGUCAGGUGGUGAAACCCUUGCCAUACAAGCAUGAGGACCGGGAGGGAAUCCCCAGAACACACGUGAAGCUCGGAGCAGUGGCGUGCAUCUGCGGUUCCAGUGCUUCCAAGGAGAGGUGGAAGGUGGAGACGGGGGCCUAGGCUGUUCUCAGGCAGCACCCAGAAACAGGAGACCCUGUCAAAGGAGGUGGGAGGGGGGUUGUCCCAAGGUAGUUCUCCCCCUUCCAAAAAAUGUCCAUGACACACACACCCAAGUUCACAUACCUGAAUGUGCACACACACACACACACACACACACACACACACACACACACAUCAUACACAAAAAGGUAGUAGAAACAAUUAUUGGCUGGAAGUGUGGCCCUGUGGAGGGGCACAUCAUGCCUGAGGCUCUGAGUUCCGUGUCCAGCACAACACAAAAAAUGGGUGAAAAACAUUCGCUUUAUUAUUGACCAGUUUACCUCUAUCCAUAAAUAAACUUUCACAAAUGAAUUUA